This is a non-coding RNA of Monodelphis domestica (gray short-tailed opossum), 2440 nucleotides long. The record is from RefSeq and is a predicted model, not a curated record. Lineage: Eukaryota; Metazoa; Chordata; Mammalia; Didelphimorphia; Didelphidae.
CUAUGCAGAUCUUUGGUUUGCCCUGCACCAAGAUGGCCACUCUCUUGCUCAAGCCAGGUCACCGUACCCUGAAAUCACAAUAUAGGUUGUCUCCUGCUCAGCCUGAUACUUGCUCAUUUCAGGGAAAGAUCUACCUGCGUUUGACAGGGCAGUGAGGACCCUCAUAAAACUGCAAAAAUCCCUAGCUUCCUCUAGAGAUCAGUUCAAGUGCUAUCUUCUACACCAACAGUUAUCCAAGGAUGAAAGAGGGGCUCUCUGAACUCAAUUCAGAAGUUGAGGAUUUCAGUGAAGGACUGGAGCUUGCUUGGGACGAUAUUGUGAAACUUCUGAUGAAAAAGUUAGAGUAGAGGAAGAACUGGUGCUCUUUGUCCUCAACCCUGAGCAUCAUGGUGACUGGAGCAGCUGGUGAUACUAAGGGAGUUUUGUCUCCAGUUUCUCUGGAGAGCCACUGUCAGAAGGAUGAGCCCAUACCCUGCCCUGGAUUUGCAGAAGAUACAGACACAGCUGUUUGUGUAAGGUAUGUGUAUGUUCACAGGGCUUGAGAGAAAGCAUAGCUCUGGAAUCUUGAUCCCUCUCUCAAAGAGAGACCUUGAUUCCUGCCUCGAAGGAAACAGGAGAUUGGGGCCUUGAGACUGGCUACUCUGCUCUCCUUAGAAAGGUGGUGCCACGCUAGAAUUAUAUCCCCUCCCCUACUUUAGUACUUUAGUAUUGUUAUUCUAGAGGAAGUUAAUUUGGGGGUUCAAAUAACUUUCCUGCCUUUAUCCCUUAAAAGGGAAAAUGUUCCAAGCUAUAUUAGAAAGCUUGAUUCCUUAUCACCAAAUACUAGUCAAAAAAAGUCCAUCAGAAAUAGGGAAUAAACUCAUUUUUCUAAGCUAAAUUUGCUAGUAAACAAAAAUCAUAGAGGUUUUGUAGAUUAGAAUACACAGAGUAAGUGAACUCUCCUGCUGAUAGUGAUACAUCUCUUAUCCAAGGAGACAUUUCCUGAACUCUCCAGGGAGACAAACUGAAAAUCAGGGACAUAUCAAAGCAUUGGUUCUUCUAUAUAUCUAUUGCUUCCCAAAGUCUUUUCUUUCCCUCCACGAGUCUUUGUGUGGAGAUAAAGAUAAAUCCCCUCCAAGGGUCUCUCAAAACAGAAAUGUUCCUCCUGUCCAGACUUAGCCUAUCUUGCAGGCAGAAAGUGCCAAGAGAUCAUUCUCUCCACCAAUGAAGAGAGCCUUGUCAACCUGGAAAAACACAGAACUACUAAAGUAGUCAGAAAAAUCAAGUCUUUAAUCAGGAAAGAGAUGGGUCCAUAAUAAUCAGCUGAUACACAGAGCCAAGCAACAAAUACCACACAGAGUCAAAACCCUGGGGCUCUGGGGACAGUAUCUCUGGAAGAUCAAUGUACUAGAAAAUUCUCCAAAGAAUAAUAAAACUUGGGGAUCUUGUAUAUCUUUCAGGGAACUCAGGACAUCAAAUCAACACUGACAGGUUGUAAGCAGGCUUGGGAAAGAAGCUGUAGCCAGGGGAUAGGGUAUCUGGGAGUGCUCUACUACAGUGACUGGUUCCUGCACAGAUGUUGCUCUUCUUGGGAAUGGAUCUCUUAAGGGUGGGGGGAGACUUCUAAGACUAAAAGGGUACUUAACAUUUGAUUCAAUCUGCUAGCCUCACCUAAACUGGGAUCAUCAAGUACUUUAAGGUCUAUAAUUCAGUCUGAAAUGUGUGAGUCUGGGACUUCCCUCUAGUCAAAUUCUCCUGGGACCCCAGCAAAUUCAGGGCUCCCCAAAAACCCAGUUGACAGUCUUAUGCAAAUAUAUGGCUUGACCCUUUCUUCAAUGUAGUGUAGAACCAAGGUGAAAUGUGGCAAUUCCUAUCAAGCUGUCCUAUUAACUGCUUUCUAUUUAUGAUGACUUCCUGGCAGAUUAUAUAUCAGUAGUUAUAAAUGACAUAUAUUACUGAUUACUUAAUUAAGUAUUGUCAUUGUGUACUAUGAGUCUUCUGUGUUUUUUUUAAUUUCUUUUUUGUGUAUAAGAAAUAAAUAGCUGUCCCAUACCUGAUACAUACUAUAUGUUGAGUACUUUUCUAUGUCACACUUUUGGGAAGACAUUGUAUCUGAGCUAAAACCCAAACUUUAAGUAAAUUAUCUCAGGGCAUUGAAGAAGGAGUUUAGUGAGCUGAAGAAUGAUCCUUUUCAAGGAGUCUGACCCCUCUUCUAUAUGGCCAGAUUUACCUAGGACUGAUGCCCCUAAUGACUACAUGCAAAGGUCUAGAGAAGAGAACUUUGUAGUGGAGGAGAGAAGUCAUAGUGGUUAUUAUCAUUAGAUUUGCUCUAAGGAGACUUUUUUAAAAGAGGAAAAAAGGCAGUUCAGUAAAACUACCCCUUAUAUCAAACCAAAUCUCAUAGUAUAUACAAUGUUCAGCAUCCAUCGUUUUCCAUUUAUGCAAAGCAGUGAGGGAGGCA